CUGGGUGGCGCCUCAGCGCCGGCAGCCGCCGCCCCCGAUCCCUCCGAGAGCACUGAGGAGGGGCGGCCCGCGGGGCUCAGGUGAGCCCCCUGAGGGCAGGGCAGGGCUGGGCUGCGCGGCCACAGACCGCGGCCACACCUCGGCACCCCGGAAAGCGGCCUGAGGGUGGUAGGGCGGUGCCCUGGAGGAAGGCUGCAGAGGUUCCAGAUGGACUCCCGUGCAGUGCUGGCAGUUGGCGUGCUGUAGCGGCGGUGAUGUCCCGUUUCCCGCCACUUGACCGAUCGUCUUCUCUCACAGAUCUGGGCUUUCCAGAGGAGCUUCUUGGGGAAAGUGGUAAGCACAUGUUCUGGAGCUGCGAGCAGGAGACUUUCUGAAGCAGAUACACAGUGGCAUGGAUACUGUGCAAGAAACCCUC
Gallus gallus (chicken) is the source of this 415-nucleotide long non-coding RNA. Lineage: Eukaryota; Metazoa; Chordata; Aves; Galliformes; Phasianidae. The record is from Ensembl.